RNAcentral lists this ribosomal RNA (1851 nucleotides) under Perelleschus carludovicae. RNAcentral's name for it is "partial 18S ribosomal RNA". It matches the Rfam family "Eukaryotic small subunit ribosomal RNA". Lineage: Eukaryota; Metazoa; Arthropoda; Insecta; Coleoptera; Curculionidae. The record is from RNAcentral.
CUUGUCNCNNAGAUAANGNCAUGCNUGUCUCACUACAAGCUAAAUUAAAGUGAAACCGCGAAAGGCUCAUUAAAUCAGUUAUGGUUCCUUAGAUCGUACCCACAAUUACUUGGAUAACUGUGGUAAUUCUAGAGCUAAUACAUGCAAACAGAGCUCCGACCGGAGACGGAAGGAGUGCUUUUAUUAGAUCAAAACCAAUCGGUGGCGGGUUCGCGCCCGUCAUCGUACAAUAUGGUGAUUCUGAAUCACUUUAUGCUGAUCGCACGGUCAUCGCACCGGCGACGCAUCUUUCAAAUGUCUGCCUUAUCAACUGUCGAUGGUAGGUUCUGCGCCUACCAUGGUUGUAACGGGUAACGGGGAAUCAGGGUUCGAUUCCGGAGAGGGAGCCUGAGAAACGGCUACCACAUCCAAGGAAGGCAGCAGGCGCGCAAAUUACCCACUCCCGGCACGGGGAGGUAGUGACGAAAAAUAACGAUACGGGACUCAUCCGAGGCCCCGUAAUCGGAAUGAGUACACUCUAAACCCUUUAAUAAGGAUCAAUUGGAGGGCAAGUCUGGUGCCAGCAGCCGCGGUAAUUCCAGCUCCAAUAGCGUAUAUUAAAGUUGUUGCGGUUAAAAAGCUCGUAGUCGAAUUUGUGUCUCGCGCCGCCGGUUCAUCGUCCGCGGUGUUAACUGGCGAGUCGCGAGACGUCCUGCCGGUGGGCUUAGCUCGCAAGGGCGGUCCAACUCAAUCCCGUCGCGGUGCUCUUCAUUGAGUGUCGUGGUGGGCCGGCACGUUUACUUUGAACAAAUUAGAGUGCUUAAAGCAGGCUAAAACUUCGCCUGAAUACUGUGUGCAUGGAAUAAUGGAAUAGGACCUCGGUUCUAUUUUGUUGGUUUUCGGAACCCCGAGGUAAUGAUUAAUAGGAACGGAUGGGGGCAUUCGUAUUGCGACGUUAGAGGUGAAAUUCUUGGAUCGUCGCAAGACGGACAGAAGCGAAAGCAUUUGCCAAAAACGCUUUCAUUGAUCAAGAACGAAAGUUAGAGGUUCGAAGGCGAUCAGAUACCGCCCUAGUUCUAACCAUAAACGAUGCCAGCUAGCGAUCCGUCGACGUUCCUCCGAUGACUCGACGGGCAGCUUCCGGGAAACCAAAGCUUUUGGGUUCCGGGGGAAGUAUGGUUGCAAAGCUGAAACUUAAAGGAAUUGACGGAAGGGCACCACCAGGAGUGGAGCCUGCGGCUUAAUUUGACUCAACACGGGAAACCUCACCAGGCCCGGACACCGGAAGGAUUGACACAUUGAGAGCUCUUUCUUGAUUCGGUGGGUGGUGGUGCAUGGCCGUUCUUAUUUGGUGGANCNAUUUGUCUGGUUAAUUCCNAUAACNAACGAGACUCUAGCCUGCUAAAUAGGCGUAUUUUGACAUCCUAAAGGCCGUCUGCUCNNNNNNNNNNNNNNNNNNNNNNNNNNNNNNNNACUGUCGACGUACAAACAAUUCUUCUUAGAGGGACAGGCGGCUUCUAGCCGCACGAGAUUGAGCAAUAACAGGUCUGUGAUGCCCUUAGAUGUUCUGGGCCGCACGCGCGCUACACUGAAGGAAUCAGCGUGUCCUCCCUGGCCGAGUGGCCCGGGUAACCCGCUGAACCUCCUUCGUGNUAGGGAUUGGGGCUUGCAAUUGUUCCCCAUGAACGAGGAAUUCCCAGUAAGCGCGAGUCAUAAGCUCGCGUUGAUUAAGUCCNUGCCCUUUGUACACACCGCCCGUCGCUACUACCGAUUGAAUGAUUUAGUGAGGUNUUCGGACCGAUGCGCGAUGGCGUUUCGGCGUNGUNGAUGUGUCCGGGAAGAUGACCANACUUGAUCAUUUAGAGGAAGUAA